Molecule: ribosomal RNA, 465 nt
Filed under: Vreelandella stevensii
Lineage: Bacteria; Pseudomonadati; Pseudomonadota; Gammaproteobacteria; Oceanospirillales; Halomonadaceae
Description: partial 16S ribosomal RNA
Rfam family: Bacterial small subunit ribosomal RNA
Source: RNAcentral
CCUACGGGAGGCAGCAGUGGGGAAUAUUGGACAAUGGGGGCAACCCUGAUCCAGCCAUACCGCGUGUGUGAAGAAGGCCCUCGGGUUGUAAAGCACUUUCAGUGAGGAAGAACGCCUGGUGGUUAAUACCCAUCAGGAAAGACAUCACUCACAGAAGAAGCACCGGCUAACUCCGGGCCAGCAGCCGCGGUAAUACGGAGGGUGCGAGCGUUAAUCGGAAUUACUGGGCGUAAAGCGCGCGUAGGUGGCUUGAUAAGCCGGUUGUGAAAGCCCCGGGCUCAACCUGGGAACGGCAUCCGGAACUGUCAAGCUAGAGUGCAGGAGAGGAAGGUAGAAUUCCCGGUGUAGCGGUGAAAUGCGUAGAGAUCGGGAGGAAUACCAGUGGCGAAGGCGGCCUUCUGGACUGACACUGACACUGAGGUGCGAAAGCGUGGGUAGCAAACAGGAUUAGAUACCCGAGUAGUC